This 138-nucleotide small nuclear RNA is filed under the name Dasypus novemcinctus (nine-banded armadillo). Its description in RNAcentral is "U4 spliceosomal RNA (ENSDNOG00000031945.1)". It matches the Rfam family "U4 spliceosomal RNA". From Rfam's summary of the family: U4 small nuclear RNA (U4 snRNA) is a component of the major U2-dependent spliceosome. The structure of U4 snRNA from yeast and human has been reported. Lineage: Eukaryota; Metazoa; Chordata; Mammalia; Cingulata; Dasypodidae. The record is from RNAcentral.
UGCUUUGGGCUGUGGCAGUGUAGCCAGUGAAAUUUAUCCAAGGCAUGAUUAUUGCUAAUUGAAAACCUUUCUUGAUACCUUGCCGUGACGACUUGAAAUAUAGUUGGAAUUGGCAAUUUUUGACAGUCUUUACAAAGA